AUGCAGCUAGUCAGAGAUGGCCAGACUACGAUUAACAUUAAUGGAGAGAUUGGCUCUUUCUUUAGAAAUGCUGGAGGUGUGAGGUAGGCGAACCCGGAUUUCCCCCUCCUCUUAAAUUUUGUGGAAGAUGCCCUUACUGCCAUGCUUGAUGGGGGAAAAGUUGUUAGGCAUAUUGUGGGUGUCGCUUCGAGGUUGGUCGCGGGAGGGUUAACCAUUAUGCAAUAUGCAGAUGAUACCCUCAUACUAAUAAAGAAUAACCCUAUGGCCAUUGUGAGUCUUAAGUUCCUACUUGUGUGUUUUGAAUCCAUGUUGGGUCUAAAAGUCAAUUUUGAGAAAAGCAAGGCUAUUGUUAUAGGGGGGGGGGGUCUUGAGAGCCAAUUAAGGGCGGACCAUAUGAUGAAUUAUAAGUUGGGGGCUUGUCCCCUUACAUAUCUUCAUCUCCUAUUGAGGAUAGAGAGUUCACUAUUGCGAGUAUGGAUUCGGUGGUUGAAAAUGUCAUGGUGA
Molecule: ribosomal RNA, 504 nt
Filed under: Triticum aestivum (bread wheat)
Lineage: Eukaryota; Viridiplantae; Streptophyta; Magnoliopsida; Poales; Poaceae
Description: partial small subunit ribosomal RNA
Source: RNAcentral